UACGAAGGGGGCUAGCGUUGUUCGGAAUUACUGGGCGUAAAGGGCGCGUAGGCGGUGUGUCAAGUCAGGCGUGAAAGCCCCGGGCUCAACCCAGGAACUGCACUCGAAACUUCCGGUCUAGAGUGGUGGAGAGGGAAGUGGAAUUCCUGGUGUAGAGGUGAAAUUCGUAGAUAUCAGGAGGAACACCAGUGGCGAAGGCGGCUUCCUGGACACCAACUGACGCUGAGACGCGAAAGCGUGGGGAGCAAACAGG
RNAcentral lists this ribosomal RNA (253 nucleotides) under uncultured bacterium. RNAcentral's name for it is "partial 16S ribosomal RNA". It matches the Rfam family "Bacterial small subunit ribosomal RNA", at positions 524 to 776 of the family's 1533-position model. The record is from RNAcentral.